RNAcentral lists this ribosomal RNA (301 nucleotides) under uncultured bacterium. RNAcentral's name for it is "partial 16S ribosomal RNA". It matches the Rfam family "Bacterial small subunit ribosomal RNA", at positions 509 to 807 of the family's 1533-position model. The record is from RNAcentral.
CAGCAGCCGCGGGAAUACGUAGGGUGCAAGCGUUAAUCGGAAUUACUGGGCGUAAACCGUGCGCAGGCGGUUUGUUAAGACAGAUGUGAAAUCCCCGGGCUCAACCUGGGAACUGCAUUUGUGACUGGCAAGCUAGAGUAUGGCAGAGGGGGGUGGAAUUCCGCGUGUAGCAGUGAAAUGCGUAGAUAUGCGGAGGAACACCGAUGGCGAAGGCAGCCCCCUGGGCCAAUACUGACGCUCAUGCACGAAAGCGUGGGGAGCAAACAGGAUUAGAGACCCGUGUAGUCCCUGUCUCUUAUAC